This 533-nucleotide ribosomal RNA is filed under the name uncultured fungus. Its description in RNAcentral is "eukaryotic LSU rRNA". The stretch from base 197 to 348 matches the Rfam family "5.8S ribosomal RNA". Lineage: Eukaryota; Fungi. The record is from RNAcentral.
AAGUCGUAACAAGGUCUCCGUAGGUGAACCUGCGGAGGGAUCAUUACAAGUGACCCCCGCUCCGGCGGGAUGUUCAUAACCCUUGUUGUCCGACUCUGUUGCCUCCGGGCGACCCUGCCUUUUCACGGCGGGGCCCGGUGGACACAUCAAACUCUUGCGUAACUUUGCAGUCUGAGUAAAUUUAAUUAAUAAAUUAAAACUUCAACAACGGAUCUCUUGGUUCUGGCAUCGAUGAAGAACGCAGCGAAAUGCGAUAAGUAAUGUGAAUUGCAGAAUUCAGUGAUCAUCGAAUCUUGAACGCACAUUGCGCCCCCUGGUAUUCCGGGGGGCAUGCCUGUUCGAGCGUCAUUUCACCACUCAAGCCUCGCUUGGUAUUGGCGACGCGGUCCGCCGCGCGCUCAAAUCGACGGCUGGGUCUUCUGUCCCCCAGCGUUGUGGAAACUAUUCGCUAAAGGGUGCCACGGAGGCCACGCCGAAAACAAACCAUUUCUAAGGUUGACCUCGGAUCAGGUAGGGAUACCCGCUGAACUUAA